Molecule: long non-coding RNA, 311 nt
Organism: Dermochelys coriacea (leatherback sea turtle)
Lineage: Eukaryota; Metazoa; Chordata; Testudines; Dermochelyidae
Exons: 4
Source: RefSeq, a predicted model, not a curated record
AGAAUUUUGUUAGGAUUGGUUAAUAAAAUAAUUGGUUAAGGUAUAGCUAAGCAGGGCUCGAGUUUCACUGUAUAAACUGGGUCCAAAAGAAAGUUCCUUGGGAAUCAGCUCUAGGACACAGCUCCAAGAAUUCUCUGGCAGACCCCAGUACUCUGUCUAUGACACUGUGCAGAAAGUGGAGUCCCCCAGAUGGACCUGAUCCUGACUAGCUAUCAAGAAAAGUUCAUCUGUCUUAUUGGGAGUGGUCACAUGCUCUGGACUCACUUCAGCUCACUGGUUCCUGCUGCAUCAUCUGUGUUUCAUGAGCCAGA